RNAcentral lists this ribosomal RNA (2475 nucleotides) under Triticum aestivum (bread wheat). RNAcentral describes it as "partial small subunit ribosomal RNA". Lineage: Eukaryota; Viridiplantae; Streptophyta; Magnoliopsida; Poales; Poaceae. The record is from RNAcentral.
AUGGCCGCCUCCUCCUCCUCCUCCCGCGGGGCCGGCGGCGGCGACGACGACAACGAGCCCUACCUCGUGGGAUUCGUCGUCUCCAAGAUCGUUGGCCUCAAGCACUACAGCGGCACCCUCAGCGGCGGCGAGAGGCCCUCCCUCAUCCGCGAGCCCCUCAACCGCUACGACAGCAACGCCAUCGCCGUCCACAACAGCCGCGGCCGCCAGGUCGGCCACAUCGAGGGCCGCACCGCCAAGGUCCUCGCCCCGCUCCUCGACUCCCUCCUCGUCGCCAACACCCACGUCCUCGUGCCCGGGAGCCGGUCCUCCAAGGCCGGCAACAAUUUCUACAACCUCCCCUGCCAGAUCCACCUCUUCGCCCGCCCCGCCGCCGCCGCCAUCGUCCGCGAGGCCGUCGACGAGAGCGGCCUCGUCCUCAUCGACCCGAACCACAUCGAGUUCGCCCUGUCCCAGUCCGCCAUCGUGCAAGAGCAGACCAAGAAAUCCGACCGGGAUGUCGAUAAGCUGUUCGCGCGUGUGGGGAAGCAAGGGGAGAGCCGGAUUGAGCCUAUGGAGCCUCCAGAGGAUGUCGUGGUGUCAGACCUGUUCGAGCACCAGAAGGUAGCCUUGGGAUGGCUGGUGCACAGGGAGGAGUCCGGUGACCUGCCGCCAUUCUGGAAGGAAGAUAAAAAUGGGGGCUACGAGAAUGUGCUUACCAGCCAGAAUGCCAAGCAGAGGCCGCCACCACUGAGAGGCGGGAUUUUCGCCGAUGAUAUGGGGCUUGGCAAGACGCUCACGCUGUUGUCAUUGAUUGCGCGAAGUAAAGCUCGCAAUGUCGGAGGGGGGAAGGCCAAAGGGACCAAAAGGAGGAAGAUCGAUGAUGCGGAGGAGGGAUCGAGGACGACACUUGUGGUGUGCCCGCCCUCGGUGUUCUCGUCUUGGGUGACACAACUGGAGGAGCAUACGAAUGCAGGCAGCUUGAAGGUGUAUAUGUACCAUGGGCAGAGAACAAAAGAUAAGAAGGUGCUGUUGAAGUAUGACAUUGUGAUUACCACUUACAGCGUCUUGGGCACAGAAUUUGGCCAGGAGGGCUCACCUGUGAACGAUAUCGAGUGGUUCCGGGUGAUUCUGGAUGAGGCCCAUAUUAUCAAGAACUCUGCAGCUCUGCAGACCAAGGCGGUGACUGCUUUGAAUGCACAGAGGCGGUGGGUAGUCACAGGGACGCCAAUUCAGAACAGCUCCUUGGAUUUGUUCCCGCUUAUGGCUUUUUUGAAGUUUGAGCCUUUCUCAGUCAAGAGCUACUGGCAGAGCUUAAUCCAGCGUCCCCUGGAGAAAGGGGAUAAGGCUGGAUUGUCACGAUUACAAAACCUGCUAGGUGCUAUCUCAUUGCGCAGAACCAAAGAAACAGAGUGUGGAAGCAAGAGUGUGAUAGGCAUUCCACCUAAAACUGUUGUAGUGUGUUCCAUUGAGCUUUCUGCAGAGGAACGGGAGUGUUAUGAUCAGAUGGAAUCGGAAGGGAGAAACAAAAUGAUGGAGUUUGGUGACAGAGAUUCAAUAUUGCGUAAUUACUCAACCGUGCUUUUUUUGAUUCUGAGGCUACGCCAGCUCUGCAAUGAUGUAGCACUGUGCCCUUUCGACAUUAAAUCCUGGCUUCCUGCCAACACCCUUGAAGAUGUGUCUAAGAACCCCGAAUUGUUGAAGAAGCUUGCCUCAUUGGUUGCUGAUGGAGAGGACUUUGACUGUCCAAUUUGCUUGUCUCCUCCAUCUACAACUGUUAUAACAAGCUGCACUCACAUAUAUUGCCAAACCUGCAUCCUAAAAAUCCUCAAGAGCGCCAGUUCCCGUUGUCCAAUAUGUCGGCGCUCCCUAUCGAAAGACGACCUCUUUAUUGCUCCGGCGGUACAACAUCCUGAUGACGAUGAAUCGGGCAGUCUUGAGUCUGACAAACCUCUCUCUUCCAAGGUGCAAGCCCUGCUGGAGCUACUGAAGCGGUCACAAAAGGAAGACCCUUCAUCAAAGUCUGUCGUGUUUUCCCAGUUCCAGAAGAUGUUGAUUCUGCUCGAAGGACCACUGAAAAGAGCAGGCUUCAAAAUACUACGUCUUGACGGCACCAUGAGCGUGAAGAAGAGGUCAGAUGUUAUAAAGGAGUUUGCGGCCGUCGGCCCCGAUGCCCCAACCGUACUGCUGGCUGGCCUGAAGGCUGCAGGAGCUGGCGUGAACCUAACAGCGGCGUCGACAGUGUACCUGUUCGACCCCUGGUGGAACCCUGGGACGGAGGAGCAGGCCAUGGACCGGGUGCACCGGAUUGGGCAGAAGAAAGCGGUGAAGGUGGUGCGGCUCAUCGUGAAGAACAGCAUCGAGGAGAGGGUCCUGGAGCUGCAGGAGAGGAAGAAGCGGCUGAUCAGCGGCGCGUUCAGGAAGAAAGUAGGAGGCAAGGAGGAAAAGGAGCUGCGCCUUGAGGAGCUGCGCAUUAUGCUAGGUUUUGGGCCAUAG